RNAcentral lists this ribosomal RNA (388 nucleotides) under uncultured bacterium. Its description in RNAcentral is "bacterial SSU rRNA". It matches the Rfam family "Bacterial small subunit ribosomal RNA", at positions 29 to 417 of the family's 1533-position model. The record is from RNAcentral.
AUUGAACGCUGGCGGCAUGCCUUACACAUGCAAGUCGAACGGCANCACGGGGGCAACCCUGGUGGCGAGUGGCGAACGGGUGAGUAAUACAUCGGAACGUGCCCGGUAGUGGGGGAUAGCUCGGCGAAAGCCGGAUUAAUACCGCAUACGACCUGCGGGUGAAAGCGGGGGAUCGCAAGACCUCGCGCUAUCGGAGCGGCCGAUGUCAGAUUAGGUUGUUGGUGGGGUAAAGGCCUACCAAGCCGACGAUCUGUAGCUGGUCUGAGAGGACGACCAGCCACACUGGGACUGAGACACGGCCCAGGACUCCUACGGGAGGCAGCAGUGGGGAAUUUUGGACAAUGGGCGCAAGCCUGAUCCAGCCAUGCCGCGUGCGGGAAGAAGGCCU